ACGAACGCUGGCGGCAGGCCUAACACAUGCAAGUCGAGCGCAAUCCUUCGGGAUCGAGCGGCGGACGGGUUAGUAACGCGUGGGAAUGUACCCUUCUCUACGGAAUAGCCUCGGGAAACUGAGAGUAAUACCGUAUACGCCCUUUUGGGGAAAGAUUUAUCGGAGAAGGAUCAGCCCGCGUAAGAUUAGAUAGUUGGUGGGGUAAUGGCCUACCAAGUCUACGAUCUUUAGCUGGUUUUAGAGGAUGAUCAGCAACACUGGGACUGAGACACGGCCCAGACUCCUACGGGAGGCAGCAGUGGGGAAUCUUGGACAAUGGGCGCAAGCCUGAUCCAGCCAUGCCGCGUGUGUGAUGAAGGCCUUAGGGUCGUAAAGCACUUUCGCUAGGGAUGAUAAUGACAGUACCUAGUAAAGAAGUCCCGGCUAACUCCGUGCCAGCAGCCGCGGUAAUACGGAGGGGACUAGCGUUGUUCGGAAUUCCACUCACCUCUCCGUACGUAGGCGGAUCAGAAAGUAUGGGGUGUAAUCCCAGGCCUCAACCCUGGAACUGCCUCAUAAACUCCUGGUCUAGAGUUCGAGAGAGGGGAGUGGAAUUCCGAGAGAUGUGAAAGUUGUAGAUAUUCGGAGGAACACCAGUGGCGAAGGCGGCUCACUGGCUCGAUACUGACGCUGAGGUACGAAAGUGUGGGGAGCAAACAGGAUUAGAUACCCUGUAGUCCACACGUAAACGAUGAAUGCCAGUCGUCGGGCAGUAUACUGUUCGGUGACAAGCUAACGCAUUAAGCACUCCGCCUGGGGACUACGGCCGCAAGGCUAAAACUCAAAGGAAUUGACGGGGGCCCGCACAAGCGGUGGAGCAUGUGGUUUAAUUCGAAGCAACGCGAAGAACCUUACCGGCUCUUGACAUGUCGAUCGCGGAUUUCAGAGAUGAGAUCCUUCAGUUAGGCUGGAUCGAACACAGGUGCUGCACGGCUGUCGUCAGCUCGUGUCGUGAGAUGUUGGGUUAAGUCCCGCAACGAGCGCAACCCUCAUUUUCAGUUGCCAUCAGUUAGGCUGGGCACUCUGGAGAAACUGCCGGUGACAAGCCGGAGGAAGGUGGGGACGACGUCAAGUCAUCAUGGCCCUUACGGGCCGGGCUACACACGUGCUACAAUGGCGAUUACAGAGGGCAGCCAGCCUGCGAAGGUGAGCAAAUCCCAAAAAAUCGUCUCAGUUCGGAUUGUACUCUGCAACUCGAGUGCAUGAAGUUGGAAUCGCUAGUAAUCGUAGAUCAGCAUGCUACGGUGAAUACGUUCCCGGGCCUUGUACACACCGCCCGUCAC
Molecule: ribosomal RNA, 1322 nt
Filed under: uncultured prokaryote
Description: partial 16S ribosomal RNA
Rfam family: Bacterial small subunit ribosomal RNA
Source: RNAcentral